CCUACGGGUGGCAGCAGUGAGGAAUAUUGGUCAAUGGACGGAAGUCUGAACCAGCCAUGCCGCGUGCAGGAUGAAGGUUCUAUGUGUUGUAAACCGCUUUUGUCCAGGGGCAAACCUGGAUACGUGUCUUCAGAUGAAAGUACCGUAAGAAAAAGCAUCGGCUAACUCCGUGCCAGCAGCCGCGGUAAUACGGAGGGGGCAAGCGUUAUCCGGAUUUAUUGGGUGUAAAGGGUGCGUAGGCGGCCAUGCAAGUCAGAAGUCAAAGGCGGGGGCCCAACCCCCGGACUGCUUUGGAAACUGGAUGUCUGGAGUGGUAGAGAGGUAUGCGGAAUGCGUGGUGUAGCGGUGAAAUGCGUAGAUAUCGGGCAGAACACCGGUGGCGAAGGCAGCUUACUGGACAGUAACUGACGUUGAGGCACGAAAGCGUGGGUAUCGAACAGGAUUAGAUACCCUGGUAGUC
RNAcentral lists this ribosomal RNA (460 nucleotides) under uncultured bacterium. RNAcentral describes it as "partial 16S ribosomal RNA". It matches the Rfam family "Bacterial small subunit ribosomal RNA", at positions 338 to 795 of the family's 1533-position model. The record is from RNAcentral.